This 253-nucleotide ribosomal RNA is filed under the name uncultured Chromobacterium sp. RNAcentral describes it as "partial 16S ribosomal RNA". It matches the Rfam family "Bacterial small subunit ribosomal RNA", at positions 524 to 776 of the family's 1533-position model. The record is from RNAcentral. Lineage: Bacteria; Pseudomonadati; Pseudomonadota; Betaproteobacteria; Neisseriales; Chromobacteriaceae.
UACGUAGGGUGCAAGCGUUAAUCGGAAUUACUGGGCGUAAAGCGUGCGCAGGGGGUUGUGCAAGUCUGAUGUGAAAGCCCAGGGCUUAACCUGGGAACGGCAUUGGAGACUGCACGACUAGAGUGCGUCAGAGAGGGGUAGAAUUCCACGUGUAGCAGUGAAAUGCGUAGAGAUGUGGAGGAAUACCGAUGGCGAAGGCAGCCCCCUGGGAUGACACUGACGCUCAUGCACGAAAGCGUGGGGAGCAAACAGG